This 464-nucleotide ribosomal RNA is filed under the name uncultured bacterium. RNAcentral's name for it is "partial 16S ribosomal RNA". It matches the Rfam family "Bacterial small subunit ribosomal RNA", at positions 338 to 795 of the family's 1533-position model. The record is from RNAcentral.
CCUACGGGAGGCAGCAGUAGGGAAUCUUCCACAAUGGGCGCAAGCCUGAUGGAGCAACGCAGCGUGCAUGAAGAAGGUCUUCGGAUCGUAAACCCUCUUGUUAGAGAAGAUAGUACGUGAGAGUAGCUGUUCACGUUUCGACGGUAUCUAACCAGAACGCCACGGCUAACUACGUGCCAGCAGCCGCGGUAAUACGUAGGUGGCAAGCGUUAUCCGGAUUUAUUGGGCGUAAAGGGAACGCAGGCGGUCUUUUAAGUCUGAUGUGAAAGCCUUCGGCUUAACCGGAGUAGUGCAUUGGAAACUGGGAGACUUGAGUGCAGAAGAGGAGAGUGGAACUCCAUGUGUAGCGGUGAAAUGCGUAGAUAUAUGGAAGAACACCAGUGGCGAAAGCGGCUCUCUGGUCUGUAACUGACGCUGAGGUUCGAAAGCGUGGGUAGCAAACAGGAUUAGAUACCCUUGUAGUC